CUAGUCACCCCUUCCCUCACUCUGUCACUAGUCACCCCCUCACUCUAGUGACAGUGAGGGAGGGUGUGACUAGUGACAGAGUGAGGGAGGGAAGUGGUGACUAGUGACAGCGUUAGGGAGGGAAGGGGUGACUAGUGACAGAGUGAGGGGUGACUAGGGACAGAGUGAGGGAGGUGGUGACUAGUGACAGUCACCACCUCCCUCCCUCUGUCACCAGUCAACCCUUCCUUCCCUCUGUCACCAGUCAACCCUUCCUUCCCUCUGUCACUAGUCAACCCUUCCCUCACUCUGUCACCCCCUCACUCUGUCACCCCCUCACUCUGUCACCCCCCUCACUCUGUCACUAGUCACCCCCCUCACUCUGUCAAUAGUCACCCCCUCACUCUAGUGA
This 391-nucleotide small RNA is filed under the name Pelobates cultripes (western spadefoot toad). The record is from RNAcentral. Lineage: Eukaryota; Metazoa; Chordata; Amphibia; Anura; Pelobatidae.